RNAcentral lists this small nucleolar RNA (72 nucleotides) under Mytilus galloprovincialis (Mediterranean mussel). The record is from RNAcentral. Lineage: Eukaryota; Metazoa; Mollusca; Bivalvia; Mytilida; Mytilidae.
UGUCAAUGAUGAAUUUUAUAAUGACAAGCAUAUGACUGAAUUAUGCAUGUUGACAAUUUUUAUUCUGAGUCU